Molecule: ribosomal RNA, 647 nt
Filed under: Sarcogyne clavus
Lineage: Eukaryota; Fungi; Ascomycota; Lecanoromycetes; Acarosporales; Acarosporaceae
Description: SSU rRNA
Rfam family: Bacterial small subunit ribosomal RNA
Source: RNAcentral
CUAGUUGUAUUAACUAUUAGUUAAUGCAAGAUCGACUACGUCGACUAAAGUUCUAGGUAGAAUAAUGAUGAUGACAAUUUUUUAUCUAUAUGUCUUGACCAAGUCUCGUGCCAGCAGUCGCGGUAAUACGUGGAAGACUAGUGUUAUUCAUCUUUAAUAGGUUUAAAGGGUACCUAGACGGUAUUUCUAGCCCAAAAUAGGGUACGGAUUUACUAGAGUUUUAUGUGAGGAGGGGAGUACUUAUGGAGUAGAGAUGAAAUUUUGUGAUACUAUGAGGAAACUGGUGGCGGCGAAAGCAACCUUCUAUGUAUAAACUGACGUUGAGGGACGAAGGCUUGGGUAGCAAAUAGGAUUAGAUACCCUAGUAGUCCAAGCAGACAAUUCUGAAUGCCAUAGAUUAGAUUAUUUUUGGUCUAUAAAUGAAAGUGUAAGCAUUCCACCUUAGGAGUAAUGUGGCAACACAGGAACUGAAAUCAUUAGACCGUUUCUGAAACCAGUAGUGAAGUAUGUUAUUUAAUUUGAUGGUCCACAAAAAACCUUACCACAACUUGAAUAUUAUUAAAUUAAUACAAGCGUUGCACGGCUGUCUUCAGUUAAUGUCGUGAGAUUUUGGUUAACUCCAUUAAUUAACGUAAACCCUUACUUUA